Molecule: unclassified non-coding RNA, 279 nt
Filed under: Hevea brasiliensis (rubber tree)
Lineage: Eukaryota; Viridiplantae; Streptophyta; Magnoliopsida; Malpighiales; Euphorbiaceae
Source: RNAcentral
GAAACUUUUGGUGAUGUGGGUUCUUCUUCCUUUGUUUCGCUAUUUGAUUUUCUAAUUCUCGCUUCAGCUGGAAUUAUAGAUAUAAUUGGACCAGAAAAUCCUUUGUGAUUAUGAUGUAAUCUUUUAUCUCUACCUGGACUAAAAGGGUGGUUUUGGAAUAUAACGGUUGCUGCUGCUGCUUUUGGUAAAAAUUUCAAAAUCAUGUUUUUCUUUGGCUUGCUUGGUUUUUCCUUCUCCAUUUUUGAACUCUUUUGUUGGUGUUGAUAUGAAGAACAAAAA